AGCGAACGCUGGCGGCAGGCCUAACACAUACAAGUCGAACGAACCUUUCGGGGUUAGUGGCGGACGGGUGAGUAACACGUGGGAACGUGCCUUUAGGUUCGGAAUAACUCAGGGAAACUUGUGCCAAUACCGAAUGUGCCCUUCGGGGGAAAGAUUAAUCGCCUUUAGAGCGGCCCGCGUCUGAUUAGCUAGUUGGUUGAGGUAAUGGCUCACCAAGGCGACGAUCAGUAGCUGGUCUGAGAGGAUGAUCAGCCACAUUGGGACUGAGACACGGCCCAAACUCCUACGGGAGGCAGCAGUGGGGAAUCUUGCGCAAUGGGCGAAAGCCUGACGCAGCCAUGCCGCGUGAAUGAUGAAGGUCUUAGGAUUGUAAAAUUCUUUCACCGGGGACGAUAAUGACGGUACCCGGAGAAGAAGCCCCGGCUAACUUCGUG
Molecule: ribosomal RNA, 434 nt
Filed under: uncultured bacterium
Lineage: Bacteria
Description: partial 16S ribosomal RNA
Rfam family: Bacterial small subunit ribosomal RNA
Source: RNAcentral